AAAAAUCCGGCAGCUCUUAACUCCGAGGUGUGAUGACGAGGCUCCACGCGAGCCGAAGUGAAUAACGCCCCGCUUCCAGGAAAAGCCUCUAAGCUUCAGAUCACAUUGGACCGUACCGUAAACCGACACUGGUGGGUGAGCAGAUAAUCUGCCAAGGCGCUUGAGAGAACUCGGGUUAAGGAACUCUGCAAAUUGAUACCGUAACUUCGGAAGAAGGUAUGCCUUCGACGGUGUAGGGAUUUACUCCCGAAGCUGUUGAAGGUCGCAGGUAAUCGGUGGCUGCGACUGUUUAUCAAAAACACAGGACUCUGCGAACACGCAAGUGGAAGUAUAGGGUCUGACGCCUGCCCGGUGCCGAAGGUUAAUUGAUGGGGUUAGCCGCAAGGCGAAGCUCUUGAUCGAAGCCCCGGUAAACGGCGGCCGUAACGAUAACGGUCCUAAGGUAGCGAAAUUCCUUGUCGGGUAAGUUCCGACCUGCACGAAUGGCGUAACGCUGGCCACACUGUCUCGACCCGAGACUCAGUGAAGUUGAAAUCGCUGUGAAGAUGCGGCGUUCCCGCGGCAAGACGGAAAGACCCCGUGAACCUUCACUACAGCUUUACACUGAACUUUGAACCUUUCUGUGUAGGAUAGGUGGGAGGCUAUGAAACUUGGGCGCUAGCUCGAGUGGAGCCAACCUUGAAAUACCACCCUGGGAUGUUUGAAGUUCUAACCUUGGUCCGUAAUCCGGAUUGGGGACAGUGUAUGGUGGGUAGUUUGACUGGGGCGGUCUCCUCCCAAAGAGUAACGGAGGAGUGCAAUGGUACGCUCAGCGCGGUCGGUCAUCGCGCUCUAGAGUGCAAAGGCAUAAGCGUGCUUAACUGCGAGACAGACACGUCGAACAGGUACGAAAGUAGGUCUUAGUGAUCCGGUGGUUCUGUAUGGAAGGGCCAUCGCUCAACGGAUAAAAGGUACUCCGGGGAUAACAGGCUUAUUCCUCCCAAGAGUCCACAUCGACGGAGGAGUUUGGCACCUCGAUGUCGGCUCAUCACAUCCUGGGGCUGUAGCAGGUCCCAAGGGUAUGGCUGUUCGCCAUUUAAAGUGGUACGCGAGCUGGGUUCAGAACGUCGUGAGACAGUUCGGUCCCUAUCUGCCGUGGGCGUUGGAAACUUGAGGGUGAGCUGUCCUUAGUACGAGAGGACCGGGAUGGACGUAUCUCUGGUGUUCCGGUUGUCACGCCAGUGGCACUGCCGGGUAGCUAUAUACGGACGGGAUAAGCGCUGAAAGCAUCUAAGCGCGAAGCCCCCCCCAAGAUUAGGUUUCCCUGGGAACUCGAUUCCCCUAAAGGGCCGUCGGAGACUACGACGUUGAUAGGCUGGGUGUGUAAGUGCAGCAAUGCAUUGAGCUAACCAGUACUAAUUGCCCGUGAGGCUUGACC
RNAcentral lists this ribosomal RNA (1417 nucleotides) under metagenome. Its description in RNAcentral is "bacterial LSU rRNA". It matches the Rfam family "Bacterial large subunit ribosomal RNA", at positions 1536 to 2925 of the family's 2925-position model. The record is from RNAcentral.